GUGCCUUCAAGGCUGGCUUCCUCACUUGCCUCUUUGGUGCCUUUGCUCAAACUGUUCUCCCAUACCUUUCCCCUACUCUCUCUUCAGCUCUGACACCAGGCCUUCCCCAGCGUGCCCCUGCUCCAGUCUCUCCAGAAGCAUUUGGAGCUCCAAGCCCCACAGGUGACCUGUUCCAUGGAGUUCCCACAGCCUGAGUUGACUACAGAAGCCACUCAUAAGUAACAGCUACGAACACAAUGCUGAGUAUCUGCUUUGGACUAAAGAUGAUGGUAGAACAGAACUAAGACGGAGGCCUCCUCUGCCUCAGAUGCAGUAUCUACUUGCUUCAGGACCUGGGGCUGCAGUCAGAAGCACACUCCAGCUCUGCUCCAGGCCCUCAGCUAUGACAAGAUGUCAUGAGGUCUCCUCCAGGGAUAGAGGAAACCAAAGCCCUGAACCUAAACUGCAAUUGACCCUAAGGAUGGUGAUCCCAAGGAAGUCUGGACACCAAAUUCAAGGAUUGAGGCACUCCAGAUUGGACCCAAUUCCAGUUGCCUAGGGCCAGGAAACAAGGAGGCUGGAAACCCUUCUGACUGUAGUGGGAUCUCUGAGACUGCCAAACGUGGAGUCCAGGAAUAAACCACACCCUUUGCUGACCUGCAUCACCAAUUGAAUUCACAGCUACACUGCCUUUUAUGCAAUAGGAAAAUGGUUAAACUUGGUGCCAUGAAUGUCAGAAACUUGAAUCCUGGAAACUGAAAUGAGAAUAUCUGUGAUGAGCCAGAGAUAAGGAUAUCUGUCACCUGGGUCCUUCAGACACUGUCACUGUAUGGUCUGCAUGUACCCUGGCUGGACAAGUGUGGCAGGUCUUCAAGAGACAAUUUGGCACAGAGGAAGUGAAUAAGGAGCCUAGACAGGCUGCUAAGGCCAGAAAGAGGAAGACAUGGCACUGUAUCUUGAGAAAGAGUAAAGGUUGUGGACACAGCAUACUAACAAUAAGGGCACACUUCUCUCCUUAGCUCCCCAUUGUCGUGGAAUGGCUGAGAAAUAAAAGGACUGUCAUGCUUUGAUGCCCGCACAGGUCUGGGAAGAAAUACCCCCUUGCCUUAGCAUCAGCUAGAGGAAGGACAUGCUCUGCUUUUCUGACAAGAAUGUCUAGAUACCAGAGGUAAACUUCCUGUGUGAUUCAUGUUAAAGUAUUUGUAGCAGCAGUGAACUUUCAGGCAACAAGGAUUGAGGUGGUAGCAGGUUCAGACUUUCUCCUGGAAGGGGAUAAGUUGCUACCACAGCAGAGAGGGCAAGGCUGAUUCACACCAUCUGUCAGCAAUCCUGGGGACAGAUAGAAAUAAGGGAGAAAGAGA
RNAcentral lists this long non-coding RNA (1340 nucleotides) under Suricata suricatta (meerkat). Its description in RNAcentral is "lncRNA (ENSSSUG00005005198.1)". Lineage: Eukaryota; Metazoa; Chordata; Mammalia; Carnivora; Herpestidae. The record is from RNAcentral.